AGGUGCUGCACGGCUGUCGUCAGCUCGUGUCGUGAGAUGUUGGGUUAAGUCCCGCAACGAGCGCAACCCUCGUCACUAGUUACUAACAGUUAGGCUGAGGACUCUAGUGAGACUGCCUUCGUAAGGAGGAGGAAGGUGAGGACGACGUCAAGUCAUCAUGGCCCUUACGGCUAGGGCAACACACGUGCUACAAUGGUUAGGACAGUGAGAAGCGAUACUGCGAGGUGGAGCCAAUCUAUAAACCUAAUCUCAGUUCGGAUUGUAGUCUGCAACUCGACUACAUGAAGCUGGAAUCACUAGUAAUCGUAGAUCAGCUAUGCUACGGUGAAUACGUUCCCGGGUCUUGUACUCACCGCCCGUCACACCAUGGGAGUUGAUUUCACCCGAAGCGGGGAAGCUAAACUGGCUACCCUCCACGGUGGAAUUAGCGACUGGGGUGAAGUCCUAACAAGGUA
This 455-nucleotide ribosomal RNA is filed under the name uncultured bacterium. RNAcentral's name for it is "bacterial SSU rRNA". It matches the Rfam family "Bacterial small subunit ribosomal RNA", at positions 1036 to 1498 of the family's 1533-position model. The record is from RNAcentral.